UGGCGGCGUGUUAAGGCAUGCAGUCGAACGAUCUACUUCGGUAGAGAGUGGCAAACGGGUGAGUCACACACUGGUAACCUNCCCCCUUCACGUGCAUNACUCCGAGUAAAUCGGAGCUAAUACACGAUAGUCUUUACUAGCAUAUGUUAGUAAAGUAAAGCUCCGGCGGAAGGGGAGGGGCCUAUGGCUUAUCAGCUUGUUGGUAGGGUAAAAGCCUACCAAGGCUAUGACGAGUAGCGGGUGUGAGAGCAUGGCCCGUCACAAUGGAACUGAGACACUGUCCAUACUCCUACGGGAGGCUGCAGUCAAGAAUCUUUCCCAAUGCGCGCAAGCGUGAGGGAGCGACGCCGCGUGAAUGAUGAAGCCCUUCGGGGUGUAAAGUUCUUUUAUCUGGGACGAACUAAUGACGGUACCAGAUGAAUAAGGGGCUGCUAAACUCGUGCCAGCAGCAGCGGUAAUACGAGUGCCCCAAGCGUUAUCCGGAUUUAUUGGGCGUAAAGCGUCCGCAGGCGGUUUGCUAAGUUAGCGGUUAAAGACCGGAGCUCAACUCCGGGCCAGCCGCUGAUACUGGCAGACUUGAGACUGGGAGAGGCAAGCGGAAUUGCCGGUGUAGUAGUAAAAUGCGUUAAUAUCGGCAAGAACACCAAAGGCGAAGGCAGCUUGCUGGAACAGUUCUGACGCUCAGGGACGAAAGCGUGGGGAGCGAAGCGGAUUAGAUACCCGCGUAGUCCACGCUGUAAACGAUGGGUACUAGACAUUGGGAGUAUCGACCCUCUCAGUGUCGUUUAUCGUAGCUAACGCGUUAAGUACCCCGCCUGGGGAGUACGGCCGCAAGGCUAAAACUCAAAGGAAUUGACGGGGACCGCACAAGCGGUGGAGCAUGUGGUUUAAUUCGACAAUAAGCGGAGAACCUUACGAAGGCUUGACAUCUAGCUGCAAAUCGGGGAAACUCGGACUUCUCGAAAGUGCUAAACAGGUGCUGCAUGGUUGUCGUCAGCUCGUGCCGUGAGGUGUACGGUUAAGUCCGGAAACGACGC
This 1037-nucleotide ribosomal RNA is filed under the name uncultured bacterium. Its description in RNAcentral is "bacterial SSU rRNA". It matches the Rfam family "Bacterial small subunit ribosomal RNA", at positions 37 to 1097 of the family's 1533-position model. The record is from RNAcentral.